GUGCCAGCAGCCGCGGUAAUACGAGGGAUGCAAGCGUUAUCCGGAAUUAUUGGGCGUAAAGCGUCCGCAGGUGGCUUUGUAAGUCUGUCGUUAAAGCGUGGAGCUCAACUCCAUAUCGGCGAUGGAAACUACAAGACUAGAGUUUGGUAGGGGUCACGGGAAUUCCUAGUGUAGCGGUGAAAUGCGUAGAUAUUAGGAAGAACACCAGCGGCGAAAGCGCGUGACUGGGCCAAUACUGACACUCAUGGACGAAAGCUAGGGGAGCGAAAGGGAUUAGAUACCCCUGUAGUCCUAGCCGUAAACGAUGAUAACUAGGUGUUGCUCGUAUCGACCCGAGCAGUGCCGUAGCCAACGCGUUAAGUUAUCCGCCUGGGGAGUACGCACGCAAGUGUGAAACUCAAAGGAAUUGACGGGGGCCCGCACAAGCGGUGGAGUAUGUGGUUUAAUUCGAUGCAACGCGAAGAACCUUACCAAGGCUUGACAUGUCGCGAAUUCCCUUGAAAGGGGGAAGUGCCUUCGGGAGCGCGAACACAGGUGGUGCAUGGCUGUCGUCAGCUCGUGUCGUGAGAUGUUGGGUUAAGUCCCGCAACGAGCGCAACCCUCGUUUUUAGUUGCCAUCAUUUAGUUGGGCACUCUAGAGAGACUGCCGGUGACAAACCGGAGGGAGGUGGGGAUGACGUCAAGUCAGCAUGCCCCUUACGUCUUGGGCUACACACGUACUACAAUGCUACGGACAAAGGGCUGCCAACUCGCGAGAGUGCGCUAAUCCCAUAAACCGUGGCUCAGUUCAGAUCGUAGGCUGCAACUCGCCUACGUGAAGGCGGAAUCGCUAGUAAUUGCAGGUCAGCAUACUGCGGUGAAUACGUUCCCGGGCCUUGUACACACCGCCCGUCACACCAUGGAAGUCGGCCACGCCCGAAGCCGUUACCCUAACCGUAAGGAGGGGGGCGUCUAAGGCAGGGCUAAUGACUGGGGUGAAGUCGUAACAAGGUAACC
Molecule: ribosomal RNA, 996 nt
Filed under: uncultured cyanobacterium
Lineage: Bacteria; Bacillati; Cyanobacteriota
Description: bacterial SSU rRNA
Rfam family: Bacterial small subunit ribosomal RNA
Source: RNAcentral